UUUGUGUACUAAAAUGGAAUGAGUGUAAAUAUUGUAGGUAUAAUGAAGGAUAUAUGUGUAUGUUUGUGUGCAGGAGAGGAUAUGAUCAAUUUUAGUGUAAAUAAUUUAGGUAAUUUUAUUUGAUGUAUAUGUAUGCCUGUAGCCUUUGUAGGCCUCCUAUUUUUUUUCUAUACAACUGCUAUGCAGUGGUGGUCAAUAAAUCAAUAGGACUUACUGAGAUUAUGAUACAUUUUAUUUGUUUCAAGAAAAAAUAUUUAAGGGUACGUAGGAGCAUUUAAAAUCUUGAAAUCAUUGAUAAGUUCCAGUAAUAAUUUAGAUUGAAAAAAUUAUAUUUUAGAAUUGAAUAAUAUUAGAUUAUGGGAGAAACAUGUUAUUCACAGUAUGACUUGAUGAAGAGAAUUCAAUGAAAUCAUAUAAGGAACGAAUUAUCAUUGUGAAAAAUAUCAUUGAUUUUUUAUUGUAAAUGCAUGAGAGUUUUAUUUGUUUUACAAAUUAACUUCUGGUAAUGAAAAAUUCAAAUUUUCAUGACACUUUAUGAGUUUCCCAAAUUUGGAGGCAAAAGUGAAUACCAUAUGUUACAGUAUAGUAUUUGCUAUGAUUUGAUGAUUGCAAACCUUACAUUGGUUCCAAAGAAAUAAUAAAGGUAUAUGAAAAUCUCAUCUUUCAAGUUGAUUGUGACCUUUGCAGGUAUAUUUUAAUAUAUCCAUGGACUUGAUAGACACCUUCUUCACGAGAGGUGUAUAAACUUAAUAUUUUGCGAUAUACAUGUAUAUAUGAUUGAAUGGGUCGGUAGUGUGCAGGGUACAAGAUUUAAGAUAAAGAAACAAAAGGCCCCUAAUUUUAUAUUUGUUUUUGCUACUUUUUCAGUUUAUCUGUACAAGAACAUAGUGGUUAGAAUUUCUUUAUCCCUUAUAGAGACCUGCAGUUUACAAUAUCAGGAUUUCAAAAUUCCCUGACCUCUUUUUUAUUGUUAUAUUACUUUUAUCCUCUUUUAACCCUAUCAAGAAUAACAGCAACAUUUGGUUUCUAAAUAAAAUAUAGACAUAGAUUUUAUACGAAACUAUGAAAUAGAAUAUCAUUAGGUAAAAAUUUGUUUUGUCUUCAUGCAUAUAUUUGGUCUACUGUGUAAACCUUUUCCUACGUCUACCUCUGAAGGUGUGAGUCUAUCAUAUUUUUUUCCAUUGGCGAGUAACCAUUUAACUUCAAGUGGAGGGAGAUGGGUUAUGGUUAUUUCUGAGUCAGAAUUUUUACCCCCGUGCAAUGCACUGUAGAGUAUUGACAAAAAUCUGGAUCCAGAUAAAAAAAAAUCUCAUCUUCAGGACCAGAAUAUUUUUUCCCCCAAAUUGGGAUUCUGAGGAAAAAAACAUAAAACAUAACCAACCAACCCCCUUGAUGUUAAAUGGUUGUUCCCUUAGUAAUGUUCAUUUUUGACUACUUAUUGGGCUUCUGUAGGACCCACUUUUGGGUCAAGGUCAUGUUUAGAACUGUCAAUGGUCACAAGGUCAUGUUUAGAACUGCCAAAGGUCACAAAGUCAUAUUUAAAGUUGCCACAGGUCACCAGGUCAUUUUUAAGCAGAAUAUAGUUUAAAUGUAAUCUGAUUAUUUGAUUUAACAUUUUUAAAAGUCACAGGCCCUUUUAACUAUGACCUCAUGUUGCGAGGUCUCCCACCAUGCCCUCUGGUCACAGAUGUUAGAGUAAAUUUAGGCUUCUUAAAAGUCGUCUUAUCGACAUUAAAUUCAUAAAAAUAUCUUGGGUAUUCAUAAACAAGGCAGCAGCCCAACACCACUGGAAAAUCCAAAAUUACAUUAUCCAUUUCUAACUCUUUAUUUCUUCAAUUCACUCAAGUCUUCUGAUUAAGAUAUUUAAAAAUUUACUGAAUCUUUGAAACAAUUAAAUGGUAGGUGUAAAUCAUUUUCAAAGAUGAAUCUAACGAAAAUUGUACUUUUAUCACUUGUUUUGGAUUAACAAUUUUUACUUUUAAUCACUUAAAAGACUGUCCUGCCAUCACUUCCAAGGCUUUGUUUGGCUAUAGUGGCCAAGAUUGUUUGUUAAAGAUAAAUUCUGACUUACUGUAUAGAUCUCUUAUCCUCAAACUUUUCAGUAGAAUAGAUAAAAAGGUACAUUGACUUACACAUUGCAGGUUGGGAUUCAAUGGUGUGGGGAGGUUGUUUGGCUAUUGUAGAACUUAAUUAAAAAAAUCUUGAAUUUGAACUUAAAAAUAAUGAACUAUGUUAAAUACAUCUUCUCCUUCAUCUAAAGGGGAUUUUAUAUAAGAUUUUCCUAAAAUUAGUAUUUGAAAAGAAAAAGAAAACAUAUUUCAACUUUCUACUGUUGGCAUAUAUUUUGGUGUCACAAAAGUCAAAAGCCCUUGAUUUGCCUCUGCAUUAUAUUCAUGCUUUUCCGCAGAACUUUAAAUAACAGGAAAUAAUGUAUACAUAAAGGUAUAACAUUGGUAAUAUGAUUUAUAAUGAUUGAUGCCAGUUAUUGUGAUAUUUGCACUGUGUAUAUGCAUCAAUGUUUUUGAAAAAUUUGAAAACCAUAUUGUUAAAAACAAUGAGAUUAAAUAUGUUUUAUAAAAUAUGGUUAUUUUCUAUUGAUUCACAUAUUACAACUCAACAUUAUCAAGCUGUA
RNAcentral lists this long non-coding RNA (2632 nucleotides) under Mytilus galloprovincialis (Mediterranean mussel). The record is from RNAcentral. Lineage: Eukaryota; Metazoa; Mollusca; Bivalvia; Mytilida; Mytilidae.